UCAAGGUCAUCUAGCGCCUCAAGCAUUUUGCAAAAUGGGUUCUGUGGGAUGUUACCAUGGAUAUAAGAGGGACAGUGUUUCCAUGGUCAACGCUAGCUUAAAUGAAGUCACAGAAGCUUCUUCUCCACAGGACUUCUUGGAGGUGUUCAUAUAGGAGAUGAAGGAACCUUUUGUUCCGGGAACAUCUGAGACUUACAGAACAUCCCGUGAAAACCCUGAUCUAGUUCUUGCUCUGCAGACAGCGCCAGCCUCAUGGCAAGCAACCGCACAGUCACAGGACCCAGGAUGUCACCGUCGUGAAACUCUUAGUAUCACAUUUGAUGGGAAGAAACAACAUUUCACUUCAAACUGCAAUGCAGGAGAUUCCUGGGUUGGCAAGAUCCCCUGCGGAAGAGAAC
Long non-coding RNA from Cervus elaphus (red deer), 398 nucleotides. RefSeq lists it as uncharacterized. The transcript is spliced from 3 exons. The record is from RefSeq and is a predicted model, not a curated record. NCBI's taxonomy places the organism in Eukaryota, Metazoa, Chordata, Mammalia, Artiodactyla, Cervidae.